RNAcentral lists this ribosomal RNA (254 nucleotides) under uncultured bacterium. RNAcentral describes it as "partial 16S ribosomal RNA". It matches the Rfam family "Bacterial small subunit ribosomal RNA", at positions 524 to 776 of the family's 1533-position model. The record is from RNAcentral.
UACGGGGGGGGCAAGCGUUGUUCGGAAUUACUGGGCGUAAAGGGCUCGUAGGCGGCCAACUAAGUCAGACGUGAAAUCCCUCGGCUUAACCGGGGAACUGCGUCUGAUACUGGAUGGCUUGAGUUUGGGAGAGGGAUGCGGAAUUCCAGGUGUAGCGGUGAAAUGCGUAGAUAUCUGGAGGAAACACGGUGGCGAAGGCGGCAUCCUGGACCAACACUGACGCUGAGUGAGCGAAAGCCAGGGGAGCAAACGGG